CGGGUAUUUCUUAUCCACGGAUACGCGGGUAUGGGUACUAUUAUUCCACACCCGUACCCGCCAUACCCGAUGGGUAAAGGAUUUCGCCCAAUAACGUACCUGCGGGUACAAAAUCUAUUCCAUACCCACGUUCUUAUCCGGUAAAGCCCGUCGGAUACUCGGGUUUUGGGUACCCAUUGCCAUUUUGAGUGGCAGCUAGGGUUGGCCGUAAUGGCGUUAUUCAGUGGCCAUAACUUUCUGGGUCAUAUUGGAUGAUGAAUAAAGAAGUCAAAAAUGCUGGCGUGCAAAUAAGGGGUUCUUCUACUCCUAGUCGUGGUGUCUCUGUUCAAUAUCGAGGUGGUCAAGGUGGACGUGCACAAAAGCCGCCUAUUGUUUUAUGUUGUGCUACGAUGCGUGUCAAUGAGGAAACAUGCCGAACGUAAAAGGUUUGUUGUUUGCUUUCAUGUGUGUUACAUGGUGUUGUCCUUUUAUUUUUUUUUCACAACAGCGAGGCCUAUUAGUCUAAUGAAAAUACAAGAAUAUUUGACACUAUUGGAGGUUGGUUCGGUAAGGGUUUAGAGUUUAGGGUUUAUUGACAGGGUUUAGAUGCACCUGGGAGGCGAAAAGAGAGGUGGGGAGGGAGGGGAAGUGGCAUCUCGAUGCGGGAGGGAGCGAGAGGAACUAGGUGAUGCCGAGAGAGAUUGACCGGUGAAAGGAAAAUAAAUUUGCUAUAAAGUAGAAAUCGGUUUCUUUUUUCUUUUUUUUAUUAUUUUUGGGUCAUGCGUCCUAAGAUUUUGAGUGCCCUCCGGCGAAUUCGUCAUGAUGGCCCAUGUAGAUCAUAAAAUCUUAUACUUCGCUUGUCUUAAAAGUCAUGACUGAAAGUACUAUUCAUUAAUUUAUUAUGAGAGAAAAAUACUACUGAAUAGCUGCCAGAUUCAGCAGAUAAGAUCACUAUUUUUUUAAGAAAAACAUAACUAUAUGAGUACAGUGUACUAGACAAAAAUUGAACAAGAAAAAAACCUAAGACCUAUACAAUUUAGACAUAAAUUGAUUUAGAACCUAAAUUCAUAAAUCACAAAAAGAGCACAAGGACAAAAGGCUUUGCCUCAGCUAGUUAGUUGCCUAGUCACUGUCGUCGUCUACAACAUCGUUGUUUGAUUCUAGAAGUCGGGCGUUGAACGUUGAUGAUCGUCGCUGGUGAUGCUGAUCGUGUGGUGAUCUGAUCGGUGUUGCGUGCCUAUGUAUCGCUGGCUCACCAAGUGCCGAAAUGUGAAACAGAGAAGUCACGAUCACUAUGUGUCAUGUACGGGCUGUGGAUAUUGACGACUCGGCUCCUCGUCUCCUAGAAAGAAAGAGGCGCAUGUGCUCUCGAUCGUCGCACCUGCCCACCCCUUAGAACCAG
RNAcentral lists this long non-coding RNA (1381 nucleotides) under Sorghum bicolor (sorghum). RNAcentral describes it as "long non-coding RNA (SBIC_LNC007519)". The record is from RNAcentral. Lineage: Eukaryota; Viridiplantae; Streptophyta; Magnoliopsida; Poales; Poaceae.